UACGUAGGCGGGAAAUUAAGUCAGUAGUGAAAUCCCACAGCUUAACUGUGGAACUGUUAUUGAUACUGAUUUUCUUGAAUAUAGUUGAGGUAGGCGGAAUGUGUAAUGUAGCGGUGAAAUGCCUAGAUAUUACACAGAACACCGAUUGCGAAGGCAGCUUACUAAACUAUGAUUGACGCUGAGGUACGAAAGCGUGGGGAGCGAACAGGAUUAGAUACCCUGGUAGUCC
This 229-nucleotide ribosomal RNA is filed under the name uncultured bacterium. Its description in RNAcentral is "partial 16S ribosomal RNA". It matches the Rfam family "Bacterial small subunit ribosomal RNA", at positions 568 to 796 of the family's 1533-position model. The record is from RNAcentral.